Molecule: ribosomal RNA, 350 nt
Filed under: uncultured Thermus sp.
Lineage: Bacteria; Thermotogati; Deinococcota; Deinococci; Thermales; Thermaceae
Description: bacterial SSU rRNA
Rfam family: Bacterial small subunit ribosomal RNA
Source: RNAcentral
GGUGACAGGUGGUGCAUGGUUGUCGUCAGCUCGUGUCGUGAGAUGUUGGGUUAAGUCCCGCAACGAGCGCAACCCCGCCGUUAGUUGCCAGCGGUUCGGCCGGGCACUCUAACGGGACUGCCCGCGAAAGCGGGAGGAAGGAGGGGACGACGUCUGGUCAGCAUGGCCCUUACGGCCUGGGCGACACACGUGCUACAAUGCCCACUACAAAGCGAGGCCACCCGGCAACGGGAGCUAAUCGCAAAAAGGUGGGCCCAGUUCGGAUUGGGGUCCGCAACCCGACCCCAUGAAGCCGGAAUCGCUAGUAAUCGCGGAUCAGCCAUGCCGCGGUGAAUACGUUCCCGGGCCUU